RNAcentral lists this ribosomal RNA (468 nucleotides) under uncultured bacterium. RNAcentral describes it as "partial 16S ribosomal RNA". It matches the Rfam family "Bacterial small subunit ribosomal RNA", at positions 28 to 507 of the family's 1533-position model. The record is from RNAcentral.
GACGAACGCUGGCGGCGUGCUUAACACAUGCAAGUCGAACGGAAAGGCCCUGCUUUUGUGGGGUGCUCGAGUGGCGAACGGGUGAGUAACACGUGAGUAACCUGCCCUUUACUUUGGGAUAACUUCAGGAAACUGGGGCUAAUACCGGAUAGGAGCUCCUGCUGCAUGGUGGGGGUUGGAAAGUUUCGGCGGUUGGGGAUGGACUCGCGGCUUAUCAGCUUGUUGGUGGGGUAGUGGCUUACCAAGGCUUUGACGGGUAGCCGGCCUGAGAGGGUGACCGGCCACAUGGGGACUGAGAUACGGCCCAGACGCCUACGGGAGGCAGCAGUGGGGAAUAUGGCACAAUGGGCGGAAGCCUGAUGCAGCAACGCCGCGUGCGGGAUGACGGCCUUCGGGUGGUAAACCGCUUUCGCCUGUGACGAAGCGGGAGUGACGGUAAUGGGUAAAGAAGCACCGGCUAACUACGUG